CACCAACUUCUUCCUUCUUAGUCUGUAUUUAUGACAGAGUGUAAACUAUUGGAAUGCAGCAUUCAAAUUGACACCAUAUUCAUUCUUCUUGACAAAAGCGACCACUGAAAAGAAGAGAUAUCCUUUUGAUUAAGUAGCGUAGUAGUAUUUAACUGACUUUAUGAAGAACUCCUUAUUACACUUAUUUGGAGAUUCUGCCAUUCAAUUUAUUUUACUUCAGGCUAUGUACCAAGGGAGGAGCAUUUCAUGCCCUGGCUUGUGCGUAUUGUAUUUUAUAGCAAAAACUUCACUGGAAACUAUUAAAAGGUCCAUUAAAAGGUUCUCAUUUAUAAAAACUAUUUCGGUCUAACUGUUUCAGGAAAAACAAAACAAAACAAAAAAACCCAACUUGAUGUGCUUUAAAAUAAACUGAGGAAUGUGUUGUUCAUCUGAAAAUACAGACAUUGUUUUGUCAGAACUUGAGAUAUCUCUACUUAAAAGUUUCUUGUUUCAUCAAAAAGUAAAACUGUUUUCUAAAUUUCAGUGUAAAGAUUCAUUUGUUGUGAAAUAUCUUUGUUUGAGAGCUUCCUGUUGGAAAAUUGUGCAUGAUCAAACAUGCUAGAUACAAACAAUUAAAUACAGAAAUUGAGUUAAUUACUUAUUUAUGGCUGAGACUGAACGUAAAGGUAAUUUCCUGCUCUGUGGCCUAUGAUGCUAAGUUUGAAGUGAUAGGCACUGUUGAGUCAAGUAGCUGAGGGAGCAGUGUAGUAUUGCUUCUUCAGUGAGCUAUGUGAUUUGAUCAUUGAAUUAUCUCAUGGACCGCAAGAGAUGAAUAUAACAGGAUUAGCUAAAGGACCACAAAUCUUGGUGUCUUCCACAAGUUGUUUCAGCCAAUCAUUUCCACUCUAAAUUGUUGCCUGUGUUUGUAAGACAAAUCUUACAAAAAAGGUUUUGAGUAAAUAACUCAGCAAACACCAAUCAUAAAUUCUUCAAUAAUGUAUUACUCAAAACCUUUCAGCCUUUCUUUCGAUGAAUAAUAAAUAGUCGCAGUGAGAAUGUUCUUAACAUACUACAGCUAAAAAAACCUAUUCAAACUGCUGUAGAAAAACAUGAAGUAAGAGUAUUUACUGGGUUUUGUUGGUUGGUUGUGGUUUUUUAAUUUAUUUGUAUUGUUAAAAGAAUUGCCCCCGUUGUCAAGAAAAAACUGCAUGGUGAAUAGAGUGACACUGAGCAUUGCUGUAUUUUAUAUCCAUAUUAUGUGAGUAGAUGGAAUGCUUCCACUUUUUUCAUGCUUUUAUAAGGACUAAGAAAUGUUGAACUAAUUUUGAUCAUGUCACUUAAUUGAUCAUGGUUGUAAAGUUCACAUUUUUUUUUU
This 1354-nucleotide long non-coding RNA is filed under the name Gallus gallus (chicken). Its description in RNAcentral is "lncRNA (ENSGALG00010009459.1)". The record is from RNAcentral. Lineage: Eukaryota; Metazoa; Chordata; Aves; Galliformes; Phasianidae.